ACCACACGAGGAUAUCUACGGGGCCGUGGGUAUUACGACGGUUGAGCAUCCAUGAUGUGGGAUUCAGCACGUGGGCCGAUAGCUGUAGUAGUUUGUGUCUUCCUCAUUUCUCAGUCGUCAUGUGAUUACCUUGAUCUAAGCGGUGGAAUGACGGGCAACAAUUCCUUCACCUUAUGCUGUACAAAGACAGGUGGUUGGGGCGUAACGGGUCUGUAUUCAGUCUUUUGGUACAGAAAUGGUACGCUUGUAUUCAAAACACGCAGGGUAUUCGGUACACAGAUAGUUGACAGUUCAUUUCAAAACUUGGUUAAACCACGUCUGUGGUGGAGAAAGCACUGUGUGGACGUUUCUAAAGUGGAAGCGGGCAUGUCUGAGUGGAGAUGCAACAACGACAAUGACAAAAGCACUUGGAGUAGAAAAUCAAUUAAACUGUCCGCUUCCAUGACUACGAAUCAACUGAUCGUAGGUGACGGCUAGUUUGUCCGGCGUCUGACGUGGCCCUGUAGAGAUUUUCUUCUCAGAAGACCCAUAUGCUUGUUUCCACCAUUAAUGACAUCUCAAUCUUUUCAAGGCGUUCGAACAUGAUUUUUGACAUUUACAUUAAAAAAAGACGUUCAAGGUUUUAUGAAAUGUUUGUAAGUAUUGGGGAUAUGCUCUACAAAAUUUCAAAAUACUUUUGCUCUGUAAAUAUAUUCUUCUCACUCAAUGUUAGACUGAGGAAUCUUAAAUUUGUCUUCUAUGGUUCUUC
Haliotis rufescens (red abalone) is the source of this 748-nucleotide long non-coding RNA. RefSeq lists it as uncharacterized. The record is from RefSeq and is a predicted model, not a curated record. The transcript is spliced from 4 exons. NCBI's taxonomy places the organism in Eukaryota, Metazoa, Mollusca, Gastropoda, Lepetellida, Haliotidae.